AACGUAGGACACAAGCGUUAUCCGGAGUUACUGGGCGUAAAGGGCGUGCAGGCGGUUUCUUAAGUCAGGCGUGAAACCAUUCGGCUAAACCGGGUGUAGUCGUCUGAGACUGGGAAACUUGAGUGUGGUAGAGGCGUGUAGAAUUCCGGGAGUAGUGGUGAAAUGCGUAGAUAUCCGGAGGAAUACCAGUGGCGAAGGCGGCACGCUGGGCCAUAACUGACGCUAAGACGCGAAAGCAUGGGUAGCGAACGGG
RNAcentral lists this ribosomal RNA (253 nucleotides) under uncultured bacterium. RNAcentral describes it as "partial 16S ribosomal RNA". It matches the Rfam family "Bacterial small subunit ribosomal RNA", at positions 524 to 776 of the family's 1533-position model. The record is from RNAcentral.